UACGAAGGGAGCUAGCGUUGUUCGGAAUCACUGGGCGUAAAGCGCACGUAGGCGGAUGUGUCAGUCAGGGGUGAAAUCCCGGAGCUCAACUUCGGAACUGCCUUUGAUACAGCACGUCUUGAGUCCGAUAGAGGUGGGUGGAAUUCCUAGUGUAGAGGUGAAAUUCGUAGAUAUUAGGAAGAACACCGGUGGCGAAGGCGGGAUCCUGGGCCAGUACUGACGCUGAGGAGCGAAAGCGUGGGGAGCAAACAGG
This 253-nucleotide ribosomal RNA is filed under the name uncultured bacterium. RNAcentral describes it as "partial 16S ribosomal RNA". It matches the Rfam family "Bacterial small subunit ribosomal RNA", at positions 524 to 776 of the family's 1533-position model. The record is from RNAcentral.